This is a long non-coding RNA of Astyanax mexicanus (Mexican tetra), 240 nucleotides long. RefSeq lists it as uncharacterized. The transcript has 4 exons. The record is from RefSeq and is a predicted model, not a curated record. Lineage: Eukaryota; Metazoa; Chordata; Actinopteri; Characiformes; Acestrorhamphidae.
UUAUGAUUAGAAUAGCACUGCUGAGGUAAAUGUAUGAUUAGAAUAGCACUGCUGAGGUAAAUGUAUGAUUAGAAUAGCACUGCUGAGGUAAAUGUAUGAUUAGAAUAGCACUGCUGAGGUAAAUGUAUGAUUAGAAUAGCACUGCUGAGGUAAAUGUAUGAUUAGAAUAGCACUGCUGAGGUAAAUGUAUGAUUAGAAUAGCACUGCUGAGGUAAAUGUAUGAUUGGAAUAGCACUGCUG